GUUCUGCCUUAGGCACGAAAGCCAACUGGGUGACUUUGGGCCAAUCACCAGGAGACGGUGAGUUCUAGUCUCCCAGUAGCCAUGAAAGCUAGCAGGGUGACCUUGUGCCAGUCCCGCCCUCUCAAUCCAGCCCACCUCACAGGGUUGUUAUUGUGGGGAAAACAGGAGGAGGGAGGGUGUGUUGGAUAUAUUCUCCACCCUCCAUUAUUUGUAAAAAGAAUAAAAGCGGGAUAUAAAUCAAGGAAUAUAGAAAUAAAUGUUCUCAGGGACUCCCAUCCCAAAACUCAGCCAGGUAAAUUCAACUCAGUUAUAACUGGGAAAUGCUUCCUUGCAUGCUGCUAAGGCCAAAAAGGGGGAGUGGAGAAACGAGAGAGAGAAAAAAACUUCCGUACGCUCCGAGGCUGACAUUUUACUUAAUAGCUUUUUCUUCGGCUACGCUUUCUCGCAGCCAGGAGAUAGUUGCGUUGAAGGCGUCUCAAUUCAUGCCGCGUUUGUGAAUGUGCUCUGCUCGGAGCCCAUGGAAAAUGGAUUUUUUUAAAAAAAAUCUCCUGUCUUUUUUUUCAAAACGCAUUAGGAUCAUCGAAUGUUGCCCAGCCACAAGCGAUGUGUGCUAACAUUUAAUAGUGUGACGAUGGAUUGCACCUGUCUGUUAUUUUCUGCUGCGGUGCAACAACAACAACAGCAACAAAAAUCUAUCUGCAGGUCCCAGGAGAUCUUUGAGACCCAGAAAGAGUGCAGAGAAGAGCAACAAAGAUGAUUAGAGGGCUGGAGGUUAAAGCACACGAAGAACAGUUGCAGGAAUUGGGGUUGGAGGGGAAGCAGGCACGCUUGCCUUCGUGGAAGGAAAAUAGUGCAGAUGGAAUGGAAUUCUGGAAAAAGGAGCUGCUUGGCUCCAGGAAGCCUCUUUCAGACAGGGCUGUCCAACCUUGCAAACGUUCAGACUUGUGGAUUUCUGGCUGGGGAAUUCUGGGACUUGAAGUCCCCAGUCUUAAAGUUGCCAAUGGUUGGACGCCCUUGGUCUUAGAUUUCGUAUUGAUAGUCUUUGACUUAAACAUCUCAGGGGCUGCCCCAAAGAAGAGGGAGUCAAAGCACCAGAAGGCAGGACAAGAAGCAACGGAUGGAAACUCAUCAAGGAGAGAAGCAACCUAGAA
This is a long non-coding RNA of Crotalus tigris (Tiger rattlesnake), 1151 nucleotides long. RefSeq lists it as uncharacterized. NCBI's taxonomy places the organism in Eukaryota, Metazoa, Chordata, Lepidosauria, Squamata, Viperidae. The transcript has 3 exons. The record is from RefSeq and is a predicted model, not a curated record.